UACGUAGGGGCCUAGCGUUGUCCGGAUUUAUUGGGCGUAAAGAGCGUGUAGGCGGUUUGGUAGGUCCGCUGUGAAAACUCGAGGCUCAACCUCGAGACGCCGGUGGAAACCAUCAGACUAGAGUCCGGAAGAGGAGAGUGGAAUUCCUGGUGUAGCGGUGAAAUGCGCAGAUAUCAGGAAGAACACCCGUGGCUAAGGCGGCUCUCUAGUACGGUACUGACGCUGAGACGCGAAAGCGUGGGGAGCGGACAGG
Molecule: ribosomal RNA, 253 nt
Filed under: uncultured bacterium
Lineage: Bacteria
Description: partial 16S ribosomal RNA
Rfam family: Bacterial small subunit ribosomal RNA
Source: RNAcentral